Molecule: ribosomal RNA, 301 nt
Filed under: uncultured bacterium
Lineage: Bacteria
Description: partial 16S ribosomal RNA
Rfam family: Bacterial small subunit ribosomal RNA
Source: RNAcentral
CAGCAGCCGCGGGAAUACGAAGGGUGCAAGCGUUAAUCGGAAUUACUGGGCGUAAAGCGUGCGUAGGCGGUUUGUUAAGUCUGCUGUGAAAUCCCCGGGCUCAACCUGGGAAUGGCAGUGGAUACUGGCAAGCUAGAGUGUGUCAGAGGAUGGUGGAAUUCCCGGUGUAGCGGUGAAAUGCGUAGAGAUCGGAAGGAACAUCUGUGGCGAAGGCGACUAUCUGGGCCAACACUGACACUGAGGCACGAAAGCGUGGGGAGCAAACAGGAUUAGAUACCCGCGUAGUCCCUGUCUCUUAUAA